Lycium ferocissimum is the source of this 966-nucleotide long non-coding RNA. RefSeq lists it as uncharacterized. The transcript has 3 exons. The record is from RefSeq and is a predicted model, not a curated record. Lineage: Eukaryota; Viridiplantae; Streptophyta; Magnoliopsida; Solanales; Solanaceae.
UUUUUAACUAUCCAAUCUUGUAGCUUACCCUUAUCCGAACCAAACCAAAAAAUAUGAAUUUCUGCUACACUACUCCUAUUACAUACCAGUGUUUACUCUAACAUAUAUGAUCUACACAUCAUUUUAGCUCUUCACUAACAAUGGAAAUCACCAAAUACCAUGCUCCUACCGUGCCUCUUGUACAAUUAUCAUGAUGCCGUCUUUUUUUUUAAUGAGUUAUAUGCAUCCGGACUUUUAUUAAUUAUGCAGAAAAUCAAAAGGUUCAAAAAAGCCCAACCCAAAUCGGGUCAGGCCCAAAAAAAUAAAAUAAAAAACAAAAAUUAAAAAACAUCAAAAACAAAUAAUAUUUUCCCAACUUUCCUAAAUGAAACCCUAAAACUUCGGGUUCUUCUCUUUAUCUCCAGCUGUAAUUUUCUUCGAUUUUUACCUCCGGUGGUGUGAAAAUGAUGAAGAGACCACAUGAUGCUGCUUUGAUGGUUAAAUUCUGAUUCACUCCUCUAUGUGUGAAUUUGUUCUUCCUUUCUCAUCUCACUAUCUUCAGGUAAAGCUUCAAUCUUCUUAAAUCUAUUCAUUUUUCCUUGUUUCUGACUCGAUUGAACCUUUUUGACUUUUUUCUUGUUCUGCAUGUACCAAUUUUGUGUUCGAUCUAUGUUGAAUCGAUCCUUACUUGAGCUCUUCAUGACAUUUGUAGCUCGAUCUGUCUUUGAAUGGACCUCUGCUUGAGCUCAUUCUGACGUUUGCGGCUUCUUCUUCGUUUGUUUUAUAAUUUCCUAUCUAUGCUCAUCACCUUCUUCAUUUGUCAAGAGAUCAAAGAUGCCAAAGAAAAUACAACCUCUUUAGUAAAAAAUAUUGGAGGAAGCUCAGGAAAGCUUAUCCAUGUGACUACAACAAAGGUCUCCUCACUGGGUUUAAACCAGGGGUUCCAUAUCAUGGGCCUCAUUUGGCAAUACUUUGUAUCCACUUUAA